AGUUUGAUCCUGGCUCAGAACGAACGCUGGCGGCAUGCCUAACACAUGCAAGUCGAACGAGAUCUUCGGAUCUAGUGGCGCACGGGUGCGUAACGCGUGGGAAUCUGCCCUUGGGUUCGGAAUAACAGUUAGAAAUGACUGCUAAUACCGGAUGAUGACGUUAAGUCCAAAGAUUUAUCGCCCGAGGAUGAGCCCGCGUAGGAUUAGCUAGUUGGUGUGGUAAGAGCGCACCAAGGCGACGAUCCUUAGCUGGUCUGAGAGGAUGAUCAGCCACACUGGGACUGAGACACGGCCCAGACUCCUACGGGAGGCAGCAGUGGGGAAUAUUGGACAAUGGGCGAAAGCCUGAUCCAGCAAUGCCGCGUGAGUGAUGAAGGCCUUAGGGUUGUAAAGCUCUUUUACCCGGGAUGAUAAUGACAGUACCGGGAGAAUAAGCUCCGGCUAACUCCGUGCCAGCAGCCGCGGUAA
RNAcentral lists this ribosomal RNA (468 nucleotides) under uncultured bacterium. Its description in RNAcentral is "bacterial SSU rRNA". It matches the Rfam family "Bacterial small subunit ribosomal RNA", at positions 10 to 523 of the family's 1533-position model. The record is from RNAcentral.